This 600-nucleotide ribosomal RNA is filed under the name uncultured bacterium. RNAcentral's name for it is "bacterial SSU rRNA". It matches the Rfam family "Bacterial small subunit ribosomal RNA", at positions 886 to 1482 of the family's 1533-position model. The record is from RNAcentral.
CCGCAAGGUUAAAACUCAAAUGAAUUGACGGGGGGCCCGCACAAGCGGGUGAGCAUGUGGUUUAAUUUNGAAGCAACGCGAAGAACCUUACCUGGCCUUGACAUGCUGAGAACUUUCCAGAGAUGGAUUGGUGCCUUCGGGAGCUCAGACACAGGUGCUGCAUGGCUUGUCGUCAGCUCGUGUCGUGAGAUGUUGGGUUAAGUCCCGUAACGAGCGCAACCCUUGUCCUUAGUUACCAGCACGUUAUGGUGGGCACUCUAAGGAGACUGCCGGUGACAAACCGGAGGAAGGUGGGGAUGACGUCAAGUCAUCAUGGCCCUUACGGCCAGGGCUACACACGUGCUACAAUGGUCGGUACAAAGGGUUGCCAAGCCGCGAGGUGGAGCUAAUCCCAUAAAACCGAUCGUAGUCCGGAUCGCAGUCUGCAACUCGACUGCGUGAAGUCGGAAUCGCUAGUAAUCGUGAAUCAGAAUGUCACGGUGAAUACGUUCCCGGGCCUUGUACACACCGCCCGUCACACCAUGGGAGUGGGUUGCACCANAAGUAGCUAGUCUAACCGCAAGGGGGACGGUUACCACGGUGUGAUUCAUGACUGGGGUG